Non-coding RNA from Acanthosepion pharaonis, 79 nucleotides. Lineage: Eukaryota; Metazoa; Mollusca; Cephalopoda; Sepiida; Sepiidae. The record is from the annotation of a GenBank genome assembly.
CCGAUCACCAAAGUUAAGCAUGAUAGAGCCAGGUCAGUACUUAGAUGGGGUACCGCUUGGGAACACCUGGUACUGUAAG